RNAcentral lists this ribosomal RNA (429 nucleotides) under Verrucomicrobiota bacterium. RNAcentral's name for it is "Verrucomicrobia bacterium partial 16S ribosomal RNA". It matches the Rfam family "Bacterial small subunit ribosomal RNA", at positions 355 to 776 of the family's 1533-position model. The record is from RNAcentral. Lineage: Bacteria; Pseudomonadati; Verrucomicrobiota.
UAGGGAAUCUUCGGCAAUGGGGGGAACCCUGACCGAGCAACGCCGCGUGAGUGAAGAAGGUUUUCGGAUCGUAAAGCUCUGUUGUUAAGGAAGAACGAGUGUGAGAAUGGAAAGUUCAUGCUGUGACGGUACUUAACCAGAAAGGGACGGCUAACUACGUGCCAGCAGCCGCGGUAAUACGUAGGUCCCGAGCGUUGUCCGGAUUUAUUGGGCGUAAAGCGAGCGCAGGCGGUUAGAAAAGUCUGAAGGGAAAGGCAGUGGCUCAACCAUUGUAGGCUUUGGAAACUGUUUAACUUGAGUGCAGAAGGGAAGAGUGGAAUUCCAUGUGUAGCGGUGAAAUGCGUAGAUAUAUGGAGGAACACCGGUGGCGAAAGCGGCUCUCUGGUCUGUAACUGACGCUGAGGCUCGAAAGCGUGGGGAGCGAACAGG